UCGACUGGUCGUUAAGCUGUUUCUAGGAUGGCAGUUAAAAUGGCUGCUGCAGCAUAACAGUUGUCAUAGCAACUGCUCCUAGCUGGACUGUACUACUACAGGAACAUAUAAACUGCCCCCAAAACACAGUAAAAAUGAUAAAGAUGGUAGCUAUAUGAUUGAAACAAAGAUGGGAAAGUGCUUUGUCUUCUUGCUCUCAUUUCUUUUAAUAUCAUCCAUUUUGCUGCUGUUGACCUGCCAGUUUAUUUUACCCACCAGUCAAUGGUUCAGUCCAGGCUUUUAUUUUCGCUUGGUAAGACUUUGCUGAUUGGUUAAUUUUACCUCUAUACUGAAAUGCAAUUAACCUCUUAAGAAUAGGGUCACACAGACAGGGCCGCUAUCAGGGGGGUACAGUAAGGGGCCCGGACCCUCAGGGGGGCCCACUUGGCCCCAACACUCUUUCUUGCCAGGAGGGCAGCACACUGUCACUUUAAAAUGGCAGGGGUUGCAGUUGGUAUGAGACAUGCCUGUGCGCGGCUCUCAGUUACCAGCAGGGCCUGCUAGUAGCAGCUGGCCAGUGAUGUCGGCUCACGUGUCCCUCCUCUUCCUGCCCAGUUCCUGCAAUAGAGGAGCGGAGCAGCAGGCUACACUGCACAUAGGUUUCCAGGGCUGUGGAUCAAAUCAUUCAGAGUUUGGCAAAAAGAACAAAAGAGUUGUGGAUCAUGUGAGAGGAAAUAUGUAAAUGAAUCACUGUACAAAUAGUAUAGUCUCUAAAGAUUUGAUUAUUAGAUAUAUAGUAUUAUUCUCUCAUAUGAAGAAGGGAGAGGCAUUUCCAGAAGAUCAAGUACAGCAAACUCAGAACAUGGCUGCUCUGGACAACAGUAAAAGAAAACCCUCUGAACUACAGGACUUCCUGCCCAACAAAUAGGACCCCUCAUCCAUACCAUUGAUGUCUUCUGUUGAAGCCGGUGCGGGACCGGCGGGUCCGUGACAGCACAGGUGUGUCGGAGAUUUGGCUCCGGAGGUGAGCGGACACCACUGCAUUUGGACAUUGAUGUCUUCUUGGGUGGAGGCACUGCUGCAAUUACAGUUUGUACUUCAACUCCCAAGUAGAGAAAGCACAGGAUCUGUGUGAAGAUUUCAAAGAGAGUCUGAGAUGGAACAUAGCAUGGUUGGAUGAGGGGCAGUGUGACACUCUGGGCCCUGAUAUCACGAAGAGGAGCACAGCCGAGGGACUGGUGCAGGACACCGGAGGCACCACUGGAGAGCUGGAGAUCCUGUGGUUGGGGGCAGAGUCCUUGAUAUGGCUUCACAGAAAGAAGUGGAAACAUUUUAGGAGGAGUGGCAAGUGACAGUAUCUUCAGAAAAAAGAAGGGAACAGAGAUUUGGGGGGUAUUAUGACUGCAAAGCAUCCGUCCUGCGGAAAAUCCCCCAAAAAAAGGGAAUUCAGGAACUGGGAGCAGGAGUUCCGGAAUCAUCUUCUGCCGGAGGGUCGGAGUGAGACAGGCCUUGGUGGUCCUCAUAUAUCGUCUGAGUCCGAGAGUGCUGGCGAUCAACCAGGUCCAUCUGCAGGGAGGAUGGUUCGCAUCACAACUUGACCCACUCACCAGUCCUGUCCUCAGCACCGGCUGAGAUAGAUGUGGAGGAGGAGGUGUCCCCAAUUGGACAACACCAACCACUCUCCCCAACCCUAGCUCCUCCCUCUGUCCCAAGGGAUACAAACCUGCAGGUUGUAAAAGAAAACCAAAGGCUGGCCAAGAAAAACAGGAACAUGUCGCGCGAGAUACGCAGGAUGAAUUGCACCAUGGUUGAACUCCUCCGGUCGCAAAAACAAGAAUUCCAAGCCCUGUUGGCCAAGCAAAUGGGAGAAUUUCAGUCCAUGUUGUUCCACCAUAGCCAACAACAUAUGCAGGCGAUGCCUGAUUUGAGGGUGGACGUUAUGUCUGCUAUUGCCAGCUGUCAGAGGUUGCCUGACCCCAUAAGCAGCAUCAGCAAUACCCCACCAACCCUCUGAAAUAUACGGUACUAAAUUAGUUUGCCUUAUUGAAAUGUUAAUUUCAGUUGUUGUUAUGUUUAACAUAUGUUA
This is a long non-coding RNA of Hyla sarda, 2065 nucleotides long. RefSeq lists it as uncharacterized. The record is from RefSeq and is a predicted model, not a curated record. The transcript is spliced from 9 exons. NCBI's taxonomy places the organism in Eukaryota, Metazoa, Chordata, Amphibia, Anura, Hylidae.